UAAGGAAUAUUGGUCAAUGGGCGCAAGCCUGAACCAGCCAUGCCGCGUGCAGGAUGACGGCCCUAUGGGUUGUAAACUGCUUUUGUACGGGAAAAAACCCCUGAUCGUGAUCGGGGCUGAUGGUACCGUAAGAAUAAGGAUCGGCUAACUCCGUGCCAGCAGCCGCGGUAAUACGGAGGAUCCAAGCGUUAUCCGGAUUUAUUGGGUUUAAAGGGUGCGUAGGCGGCUUAUUAAGUCAGUGGUGAAAGCCUGGGGCUUAACUCCAGAACUGCCAUUGAUACUGAUGAGCUUGAGUACAGUUGAGGUGGGCGGAAUGUGUCAUGUAGCGGUGAAAUGCUUAGAUAUGACACAGAACACCAAUUGCGAAGGCAGCUCGCUAAACUGUAACUGACGCUGAGGCACGAAAGCGUGGGUAGCAAACAGGAUUAGAUACCCCCGUAGUCC
RNAcentral lists this ribosomal RNA (444 nucleotides) under uncultured bacterium. RNAcentral's name for it is "bacterial SSU rRNA". It matches the Rfam family "Bacterial small subunit ribosomal RNA", at positions 355 to 796 of the family's 1533-position model. The record is from RNAcentral.